GCGCCCGUAGCUCAAUUGGAUAGAGCAGCAGACUACGAAUCUGCGGGUUGAGGGUUCGAAUCCUUUCGGGCGCGCCA
Molecule: transfer RNA, 77 nt
Filed under: bacterium
Lineage: Bacteria
Also listed under: 1 other name
Description: tRNA-Arg
Rfam family: tRNA
About the family: Transfer RNA (tRNA) molecules are approximately 80 nucleotides in length.
Source: RNAcentral